Molecule: non-coding RNA, 326 nt
Organism: Delphinapterus leucas (beluga whale)
Lineage: Eukaryota; Metazoa; Chordata; Mammalia; Artiodactyla; Monodontidae
Source: RefSeq, a predicted model, not a curated record
AUGCGCCAGCAGCGCCUCCUUGGUGUGCUCGUCCUGCGCGCGCAGGGCCAGGGCGCUGAGCAGCUCCGAGUUGUUGGACGUGCUGCGGUAGUAGAGCAUGUGCGCCAGCUCCAGCGCCUGCACGUUGCGCCGCUGUCCGAACAUCUGCAGAGUAUCUGCUAGGUGCCAGGGAGUGCUAUUUAGCUCUGGAGAGACAACACUGAAUUUGUGGAGCUGCCUUUGUUGAGCUUAUGGUCCAGCAUGAGAGACAGAUAAUUAAACACAGAGUCUGCGCGUGCCUCUCACUGUUGCGGCCUCUCCCAUUGCAGAGCACAGGCUCCGGACGC